Molecule: ribosomal RNA, 445 nt
Filed under: uncultured bacterium
Lineage: Bacteria
Description: partial 16S ribosomal RNA
Rfam family: Bacterial small subunit ribosomal RNA
Source: RNAcentral
GUGAGGAAUAUUGGUCAAUGGGCGAGAGCCUGAACCAGCCAAGUAGCGUGAGGGAUGACUGCCCUAUGGGUUGUAAACCUCUUUUGCAGGGGGGUAAAGUGGUUCACGUGUGGACCAUUGCAAGUACCCUGCGAAUAAGGAUCGGCUAACUCCGUGCCAGCAGCCGCGGUAAUACGGAGGAUCCGAGCGUUAUCCGGAUUUAUUGGGUUUAAAGUGAGCGUAGGCGGGGGUUUAAGUCAGCUGUGAAAUGCCGUGGCCCAACCAUGGAACUGCAGUUGAAACUGGACCUCUUGAGAGUACAUAAGGAAGGCGGAAUUCGUGGUGUAGCGGUGAAAUGCAUAGAUAUCACGAAGAACUCCGAUUGCGAAGGCAGCUUUCCGGGGUACAUCUGACGCUGAAGCUCGAAAGUGCGGGAAUCAAACAGGAUUAGAAACCCGAGUAGUCC